RNAcentral lists this ribosomal RNA (134 nucleotides) under Buxus citrifolia. RNAcentral's name for it is "partial 26S ribosomal RNA". It matches the Rfam family "Eukaryotic large subunit ribosomal RNA", at positions 1 to 134 of the family's 3401-position model. Lineage: Eukaryota; Viridiplantae; Streptophyta; Magnoliopsida; Buxales; Buxaceae. The record is from RNAcentral.
GUGACCCAAGUCAAGUGGGAUUACCCGCUGAAUUUAAGCAUAUCAAUAAGAAGAGGAAAAGAAACUUACAAGGAUUCCCCUAGUAACGACGAGCGAACCGGGAAGAGCCUAGCUUGAGAAUCGGGCAGCUCCAU